This is a long non-coding RNA of Gallus gallus (chicken), 1304 nucleotides long. NCBI's taxonomy places the organism in Eukaryota, Metazoa, Chordata, Aves, Galliformes, Phasianidae. The record is from Ensembl.
AGGGUGUUGGUAAAAUUCAAGGAAUCCAGAACUAUGUUAGGAAAUAAUUAUACUGUCACUGAGAGAAGUCGACAAACAGCAGCUGGGAACAAAGUCAUGAAGUUCCAAAGAACCUUCUGAUGCCAGCUGAAAUCGAUGAACGAGUUAUUGCUGAGUUCAGAAGAUCCUGAAUCCUAAAAUGCCAGAUCAAAGAAAAUGAAGACUCUGUGUAGGAACGUACUGCACGUUAAAGUUUUUCAGUCUAAGAAAUGAUUGAUCUAAUGACGCAGCCGCUUCCUGUGCCAACAAACCCCACCGCUGCCGGAUCCUGUCUGGGGAGAGAGACACAGAUACGAAUGCCAUGGAGUCAGCUCUCAGUCUAUUAUCUUUAGCUACAUAGAUUUAUAGUCCAGAAGAAUUCUACACGCAUGCGUACCCAUUCAUCCAUCGCACAAUCCCAUGCACCCACGUGCCGACCCUCCCCCCUAAGUAGCGAAUCAUUCAAGAUGUUUUUCUACUGUCUUCAGCUUGUUGUGCAGCAAACUUGUUGUGCAGCAGAGUUCCGCUGCAGCGUCCUUGACCAUAUCUCCAACAAUCUAAUGAUAACAGACAUAAGUAAAGCUUAUUGACACAGAGAUACAGCAUAAAGACAUGGAUACAACCCACGUGUGUGGUGUAAUGUUUAGUGUAUAAUUUAUUUAUUGGAGAAAAACAAUAAGGUAAUUUUAUUAAAGCAGUUGUGAGAAGGAAAUCUCUAGCUCUUAUGUUAAUGCAAAAAUUCUAUAGUGAUGGGAAUUGGGGUCAGAUUAUAAUUAUUAAGAUGGCACUUCAGAUAUGUCUAGCACAUUGCUAGAUGCUGAAUGGAAGUUUCUUUCAUAGCAGUUUAUUUUACAAGCUAAUGCUGCAUAUGCAUAUCAUGGAAUUACACAAUUAGUUAUACUUAAUGAAGAAUAGCAUGAGGCAACCCAAUUGGUUUUGUGAUAAUUUGUCCAGAAGAUGACUGAAGAGUUCUUUGUGCAUUUCUAUGUGUCAACUUUUGGAAAUGGUUGAUUUUGUUGUCAUUCAUUUACAGAAAAACGGUAAUCUUUCUGGUGGAUCUGGAAUGGUUCUUCCACAUUUAAUAUGACAGUUUUGUGAGAUAUCUGUACACCUUUGCCUAUUUAAAUUUUAGGUAUAUAAGUAUACUUUGAUGUAGAUGGUUUACAUUUCUGAUCACUUGAUACAAGUCUACCCUUUUUCUAAAACAGAGAAUUAGUAUUUAUAAAGCACUAACUGUCUGCAGACAAGGACUUUCUUGGGUGACAAGAUUAAAGUUGCAUUGAAAU